AAGUCGUAACAAGGUUUCCGUAGGUGAACCUGCGGAAGGAUCAUUAACACGAAACUCCACGUUUCAUACCAACCUGUGGUCUUGUAACUUUCAGUUUUUUGGAAACGAAGAAGAGGCGGGCAACUGCCUUUUUUUCUAUCCAAAGAAUUUUUAUAUACAAACCCCUUGUAUCAUCUAUUGACUGAACCAAUGGAAGCUUUUGAGUACCUUCGGGCGCUCGCUUCUUGAUAUUACGAAACUCUGAACAACUCUAAGCAACGGAUAUCUUGGUUCUC
RNAcentral lists this unclassified non-coding RNA (275 nucleotides) under fungal sp. Its description in RNAcentral is "partial internal transcribed spacer region". The stretch from base 1 to 46 matches the Rfam family "Eukaryotic small subunit ribosomal RNA", at positions 1786 to 1831 of the family's 1831-position model. The record is from RNAcentral. Lineage: Eukaryota; Fungi.